CCUUCGGGUUGUAAACCGCUUUUGUCAGGGAAGAAAAGCUCUGGGUCAAUACCUCGGAGUCAUGACGGUACCUGAAGAAUAAGCACCGGCUAACUACGUGC
This 101-nucleotide ribosomal RNA is filed under the name uncultured bacterium. RNAcentral describes it as "partial 16S ribosomal RNA". The record is from RNAcentral.